Molecule: long non-coding RNA, 2298 nt
Organism: Neofelis nebulosa (Clouded leopard)
Lineage: Eukaryota; Metazoa; Chordata; Mammalia; Carnivora; Felidae
Exons: 2
Source: RefSeq, a predicted model, not a curated record
GCAGAAGGAGAGAGAGAUAAUCUUAAGCAGGCCCCGUGUUCAGCACAGAGCCUGACUUGGGGCUCCAUCCCAUGACCCUGGGAUCAUGACCUGAGCCAAAAUCAAGAGUCAGAUGCUCCACUAACUGAACCAUCUAGAUGCCCCCUGACACCAAUUCUGAUGGGGGUUUUCCCACAGUGAUGAAGUGUGAGAAACGAAGUUUUGGGGUAACGGGGGGUUCAUGGGGUCCAGAGCUGAUGGCCAUGAAAGAACUCUUGAAGUCAUCUUUGGUGCAAAAAGAUGAUUUUAUUAAAGCAUGGGGACAGGAUCUAUGGGCAGGAAGAGCUGCACUAUGGUCAUGACAGGUAACUCAUUAUAUACCCUCGGGUUGGGAGGGGGUCAGGGAUAGAGUAAGUCUCUAAGAAAUUUUGGAAGCAAAGUUUUCAGGACUGUGAGAGGCUAGCUGUUGCUAGGGAAACACCAUUUAUUACCAUUUUAAAAAACCUCAAUCAUGAGAUCUUUUAGAUGUAUAUCAGGGUCUAUAAGCUUGGAGUAUGAUUGCCAACACAUAUCUUGGGGCAGUUGAGAUAAAGGAAGUUGACUUCAGGAUCCACCAGGUUGGGAUAAUGUUAAGCUAAGGUUAUCUUUUGCCCCCAGAAAAAUGUCAUCUUUGAGGUAGCUGAACUCGUUAGAGGGAGGUCAUCUGCCAGUCUCAAGGACUUGUCAAUGGGCUCUAGGCAGUAAGGGAAUUUAAUUUUUCAUUUGCCUUAGUUUCCCACAUUACCAUGGCAAACACUUAAACGCCUUUCCUUUGUUCUUGGGUAGCCAGGAUUGUCUGAGGAAUAUCACACAUAUUCUACCUGUGGGGCAGAGAAGUGUGCCAGCCUGUAUUUUGCCCUCAGCUUGCCCCAAGCUCCCUCAUCAACACUACCAAGCAGUUCUGGAACAGCAGCUGAGUGUCUUUCAGUUUAACUCAAUUCUGACACCAUCUACCCAGAGAUAGUGUCAGAUUCCAUGACUAAAGGCUCAAUCCUACAAGACUGUCCUCCACUUUAGAUAACAAUUUUAGGUCCAGGUUUUUACCUCUGCUUCUAACCAACUGGCUUUAGAUCUCAGGUUGCAAUGACUCCCCUCAAUUCAUUUGCUAGAGCAGCUCACAGAACCCAGAAAACCAGUUUACUCACUAGAUUAUUGGUUUAUACAACUGAGGAACAGCCCUAUGGAAGAGAUGCAUAAAGCAAGUCACAAAAGCUUCCAUGCCCUCUCUGAGUACUUCAGUCUCCCCAAAUUUCCAGGUGUUCACCAACCUGAAAGCUCUCUGAACCUUGUCCUUUUGGGUUUUUAUGGUGGUCUCAUAACAUAGACACAAUUGAAUAAAUCAUUGGCCGUCCGUUAUCGAAUUUAAUCUGCAGCCCCUUUUCCCUCCCCAGAGAUAAGAGUUGGGACUGGAAGUUCCAGUCCUCUAAUCACAUGGUUGGCUUGCCUGGCAACCAUCCCCAUCCUUGGGUUUUAUAGGGGCUUCCCAAAAGCUGCCUAAUUAACAUACCAAAAGACAUCUGUGUUGCUCUCAUCACUUAGGAAAUUCCAAUGGUUUCAGGAGCUUUGUGCCAGAAAUAGAGAGGAAAACCACAUACAUAAUUGUUAUAAAUUGCAAUAUCACACUGGUUUUUCAGCUCACAUCAGGAUCCAAACAAGGUUUUGAAUCCAGUCUUAAAUGAUUUAUUUUUUAUUUUUUAAAUUUUUUUUAACGUUUAUUUAUUUUUGAGACAGAGAGAGACAGAGCAUGAAUGGGGGAGGGUCACAGAGAGAGGGAGACACAGAAUCUGAAACAGGCUCCAGGUUCUGAGCGGUCUGCAGAGAGCCCGACGCGGGGCUCGAACUCACGGACCGCGGGAUCAUGACCUGAGCUGAAGUCGGAUGCUUAACCGACUGAGCCACCCAGGCGCCCGCAGCCUUAAAUGAUUUUAAAGUUUCUAAUGAUAAAGUUAAUUUGUAGAUCAGUACCCACAAAAUAGAAGCCAUCCCAGUUGGCUGGCUCAAGUUACAAAUCUGAACCGAAAUCAGCCACACUUACGGGAAAUGCCUCAUUGUCCAGGAAAUCUAACGCAUACCAGUCACAAGUCUCCAACUUACCCUUAGCUAGCUUACUCUACCCUAGGAAAUAGGACCUCCUGGCCAACUAUUUCCACAUUACUUCUUCUAACUGUGUAAAACUCACUGUCCCCUAAAUACCCUGGGGGGAGUGUUCCACUGCUUGUGAGGCACUGUAUUACCCCAAUCCAUGGACUGUCUUCCCUUGAAUAAACAAUAUCAAACUCA